AUUGAACGCUGGCGGCAUGCUUUACACAUGCAAGUCGAACGGUAACAGGCCUUCGGGCGCUGACGAGUGGCGAACGGGUGAGUAACGCAUCGGAACGUGCCCAGUCGUGGGGGAUAACGCAGCGAAAGCUGUGCUAAUACCGCAUACGAUCUGCGGAUGAAAGCGGGGGACCUUAGGGCCUCGCGCGAUUGGAGCGGCCGAUGUCAGAUUAGGUAGUUGGUGGGGUAAAGGCCUACCAAGGCGACGAUCUGUAGCGGGUCUGAGAGGAUGAUCCGCCACACUGGGACUGAGACACGGCCCAGACUCCUACGGGAGGCAGCAGUGGGGAAUUUUGGACAAUGGGCGAAAGCCUGAUCCAGCCAUGCCGCGUGCAGGAUGAAGGCCUUCGGUGUAAGCUCUUCGCUGGAGAAUACGCACAGGCUAAUACUCUGUGUGGAUGACGGUACCGAGCACAAGAAG
Molecule: ribosomal RNA, 459 nt
Filed under: uncultured bacterium
Lineage: Bacteria
Description: bacterial SSU rRNA
Rfam family: Bacterial small subunit ribosomal RNA
Source: RNAcentral